UACGUAGGGUGCAAGCGUUGUCCGGAAUUAUUGGGCGUAAAGAGCUCGUAGGCGGUCUGUCGCGUCUGCUGUGAAAACCUGGGGCUUAACCCCGGGCCUGCAGUGGGUACGGGCAGACUAGAGUGUGGUAGGGGAGACUGGAAUUCCUGGUGUAGCGGUGAAAUGCGCAGAUAUCAGGAGGAACACCGGUGGCGAAGGCGGGUCUCUGGGCCAUAACUGACGCUGAGGAGCGAAAGCAUGGGGAGCGAACAGG
RNAcentral lists this ribosomal RNA (253 nucleotides) under uncultured bacterium. Its description in RNAcentral is "partial 16S ribosomal RNA". It matches the Rfam family "Bacterial small subunit ribosomal RNA", at positions 524 to 776 of the family's 1533-position model. The record is from RNAcentral.